This 385-nucleotide ribosomal RNA is filed under the name uncultured bacterium. RNAcentral describes it as "bacterial SSU rRNA". It matches the Rfam family "Bacterial small subunit ribosomal RNA", at positions 355 to 757 of the family's 1533-position model. The record is from RNAcentral.
UGGGGAAUAUUGGACAAUGGGCGAAAGCCUGAUCCAGCAAUGCCGCGUGAGUGAUGAAGGCCUUAGGGUUGUAAAGCUCUUUUACCCGGGAUGAUAAUGACAGUACCGGGAGAAUAAGCCCCGGCUAACUCCGUGCCAGCAGCCGCGGUCAUACGGAGGGGGCUAGCGGUGUUCGGAUUUACUGGGCGUAAAGGGCGCGUAGGCGGCGCGGUAAGUCACUUGUGAAAUCGCUGAGCUUACCUCAGAACGGCCAAGUGAUACUGCUGUGCUAGAGUGCGGAAGAGGCAACCGGAAUUCUUGGUGUAGCGGUGAAAAGCGUAGAUAUCAAGAGGAACACCUGAGGCGAAGGCGGGUUGAUGGGCCGACACUGACGCUGAUGCGCGAC